GCACAAGUGGUAGAAUAAUACCUUGCCACGGUACAGCCCCGGGUUCGAUUCCCAGCUGGUGCA
This 63-nucleotide transfer RNA is filed under the name Nicotiana sylvestris (wood tobacco). It matches the Rfam family "tRNA". Rfam says of the family: Transfer RNA (tRNA) molecules are approximately 80 nucleotides in length. Their secondary structure includes four short double-helical elements and three loops (D, anti-codon, and T loops). Lineage: Eukaryota; Viridiplantae; Streptophyta; Magnoliopsida; Solanales; Solanaceae. RNAcentral also lists the same sequence under 1 other name. The record is from Rfam by way of RNAcentral.